This 468-nucleotide ribosomal RNA is filed under the name uncultured bacterium. Its description in RNAcentral is "partial 16S ribosomal RNA". It matches the Rfam family "Bacterial small subunit ribosomal RNA", at positions 28 to 507 of the family's 1533-position model. The record is from RNAcentral.
GACGAACGCUGGCGGCGUGCUUAACACAUGCAAGUCGAACGGAAAGGCCCUGCUUUUGUGGGGUGCUCGAGUGGCGAACGGGUGAGUAACACGUGAGUAACCUGCCCUUGACUUUGGGAUAACUUCAGGAAACUGGGGCUAAUACCGGAUAGGAGCUCCUGCUGCAUGGUGGGGGUUGGAAAGUUUCGGCGGUUGGGGAUGGACUCGCGGCUUAUCAGCUUGUUGGUGGGGUAGUGGCUUACCAAGGCUUUGACGGGUAGCCGGCCUGAGAGGGUGACCGGCCACAUUGGGACUGAGAUACGGCCCAGACUCCUACGGGAGGCAGCAGUGGGGAAGAGUGCACAAGGGGCGGAAGCCUGAUGCAGCAACGCCGCGUGCGGGAUGACGGCCUUCGGGUUGUAAACCGCUUUCGCCUGUGACGAAGCGUGAGUGACGGUAAUGGGUAAAUAAGCACCGGCUAACUACGUG